AAAAAAUGAGCGAUCUGUGGUCACACUUCGGCCGCUGCGUGUGGCGUCAUUACGCGAGGGCUACGUGCCUGGAGCCAGCGUGUGAUUGGUGGAUUCCGGAGGCGGGAACUCAGUGUGCUGGGUGACGUCGAAUGACGCGGGUUGCGCAAUGCCUUUCUGUGGUUACUGGCCUGCGCCCCGUGUGGCGUUGUAUUAUAUUCCAUCGGUUCCUGAAAGAUCAGAGGAUUUAUUGCCAGUGGAGGAGAUGCUGGAAUACCCCGGACGAUGCUCCCAAAUGAUAGGGUUAUAAUUGUUGCUGUUUAUAACUGAGGCAUAUACUUGUUGUACAACUGUGACAUACUGUAUAAAGAAGGGUCUAUGGGAAGAAAAUGUACUUCCAGCUGGUGCAAUAAUAGCAGCGUUAAGGUAAAU
This is a long non-coding RNA of Pseudophryne corroboree (corroboree frog), 411 nucleotides long. RefSeq lists it as uncharacterized. Lineage: Eukaryota; Metazoa; Chordata; Amphibia; Anura; Myobatrachidae. The transcript has 4 exons. The record is from RefSeq and is a predicted model, not a curated record.